UAGUCGUAAACGAUACUCGCUAGGUGUCGGCCACGGUGCGACCGUUGUCGGUGCCGUAGGGAAGCCGUGAAGCGAGCCACCUGGGAAGUACGGCCGCAAGGCUGAAACUUAAAGGAAUUGGCGGGGGAGCACAACAACGGGUGGAGCUUGCGGUUUAAUUGGAUUCAACGCCGGAAAUCUUACCGGGACCGACAGCAACAUGAAGGCCAAGCUGAAGACUUUGCCGGAUUAGCUGAGAGGUGGUGCAUGGCGUAGUCGUGU
RNAcentral lists this ribosomal RNA (261 nucleotides) under uncultured archaeon. RNAcentral describes it as "partial 16S ribosomal RNA". It matches the Rfam family "Archaeal small subunit ribosomal RNA", at positions 748 to 1009 of the family's 1478-position model. The record is from RNAcentral.